This is a non-coding RNA of Myotis brandtii (Brandt's bat), 73 nucleotides long. NCBI's taxonomy places the organism in Eukaryota, Metazoa, Chordata, Mammalia, Chiroptera, Vespertilionidae. The record is from Rfam.
GGCAGUUCUCGGGUGAUGCACCCCAGAAUUGGGCUCCCUCCUCUGGUUCCAGGUGCAUCACCUGAGAACCGCA